RNAcentral lists this ribosomal RNA (318 nucleotides) under uncultured bacterium. Its description in RNAcentral is "bacterial SSU rRNA". It matches the Rfam family "Bacterial small subunit ribosomal RNA", at positions 29 to 351 of the family's 1533-position model. The record is from RNAcentral.
AAUAAACGCUGGCGGCGUGCCUAACACAUGCAAGUCGAGCGAGAAAGCUUCUUCGGAAGUGAGUACAGCGGCGAACGGGUGAGUUACGCGUGAGAAUCUACCUUUUAGUGGAGAAUACUCUUGAGAAAUUGAGGUUAAUACUGCAUAAGUCCCUUCGGGGAGAAAGAUGGCCUCUUUGCUGUCGCUAAAAGAUGAGCUUGCGUGCUAUUAGCUAGUUGGUAGGGUAAAGGCCUACCAAGGCGAUGAUGGCUAGCCGGCCUGAGAGGGUGUACGGCCACACUGGAACUUAGACACGGUCCAGACACCUACGGGUGGCUG